Molecule: small nucleolar RNA, 104 nt
Organism: Otolemur garnettii (small-eared galago)
Lineage: Eukaryota; Metazoa; Chordata; Mammalia; Primates; Galagidae
Source: Ensembl
AUACUUUUGUGUUUCUUAACUAUGACGAUUAGGUUUUCACACUUGUGUGUGAGAUAUGCCUUUCACAAACCAUGGUACACUGUCUGGACAUUACCCACUUAACA